This 2922-nucleotide ribosomal RNA is filed under the name Campylobacter coli. RNAcentral describes it as "23S ribosomal RNA". It matches the Rfam family "Bacterial large subunit ribosomal RNA". The record is from RNAcentral. Lineage: Bacteria; Pseudomonadati; Campylobacterota; Epsilonproteobacteria; Campylobacterales; Campylobacteraceae.
AAAAAAGGUAAGCUACUAAGAGCGAAUGGUGGAUGCCUUGACUGGUAAAGGCGAUGAAGGACGUACUAGACUGCGAUAAGCUACGGGGAGCUGUCAAGAAGCUUUGAUCCGUAGAUUUCCGAAUGGGGCAACCCAAUGUAUAGAGAUAUACAUUACCUAUAUAGGAGCGAACGAGGGGAAUUGAAACAUCUUAGUACCCUCAGGAAAAGAAAUCAAUAGAGAUUGCGUCAGUAGCGGCGAGCGAAAGCGCAAGAGGGCAAACCCAGUGCUUGCACUGGGGGUUGUAGGACUGCAAUGUGCAAGAGGUGAGUUUAGCAGAACAUUCUGGAAAGUAUAGCCAUAGAGGGUGAUAGUCCCGUAUGCGAAAAACAAACCUUAGCUAGCAGUAUCCUGAGUAGGGCGGGACACGAGAAAUCCUGUCUGAAGCUGGGUCGACCACGAUCCAACCCUAAAUACUAAUACCAGAUCGAUAGUGCACAAGUACCGUGAGGGAAAGGUGAAAAGAACUGAGGUGAUCAGAGUGAAAUAGAACCUGAAACCAUUUGCUUACAAUCAUUCAGAGCACUAUGUAGCAAUACAGUGUGAUGGACUGCCUUUUGCAUAAUGAGCCUGCGAGUUGUGGUGUCUGGCAAGGUUAAGCAAACGCGAAGCCGUAGCGAAAGCGAGUCUGAAUAGGGCGCUUAGUCAGAUGCUGCAGACCCGAAACGAAGUGAUCUAUCCAUGAGCAAGUUGAAGCUAGUGUAAGAACUAGUGGAGGACUGAACCCAUAGGCGUUGAAAAGCCCCGGGAUGACUUGUGGAUAGGGGUGAAAGGCCAAUCAAACUUCGUGAUAGCUGGUUCUCUCCGAAAUAUAUUUAGGUAUAGCGUUGUGUCGUAAUAUAAGGGGGUAGAGCACUGAAUGGGCUAGGGCAUACACCAAUGUACCAAACCCUAUCAAACUCCGAAUACCUUAUAUGUAAUCACAGCAGUCAGGCGGCGAGUGAUAAAAUCCGUCGUCAAGAGGGAAACAACCCAGACUACCAGCUAAGGUCCCUAAAUCUUACUUAAGUGGAAAACGAUGUGAAGUUACUUAAACAACCAGGAGGUUGGCUUAGAAGCAGCCAUCCUUUAAAGAAAGCGUAAUAGCUCACUGGUCUAGUGAUUUUGCGCGGAAAAUAUAACGGGGCUAAAGUAAGUACCGAAGCUGUAGACUUGAUUUUAUCAAGUGGUAGGAGAGCGUUCUAUUUGCGCCGAAGGUAUACCGGUAAGGAGUGCUGGAGCGAAUAGAAGUGAGCAUGCAGGCAUGAGUAGCGAUAAUUAAUGUGAGAAUCAUUAACGCCGUAAACCCAAGGUUUCCUACGCGAUGCUCGUCAUCGUAGGGUUAGUCGGGUCCUAAGUCGAGUCCGAAAGGGGUAGACGAUGGCAAAUUGGUUAAUAUUCCAAUACCAACAUUAGUGUGCGAUGGAAGGACGCUUAGGGCUAAGGGGGCUAGCGGAUGGAAGUGCUAGUCUAAGGUCGUAGGAGGUUAUACAGGCAAAUCCGUAUAACAUACUCCGAGAACUGAAAGGCUUUUUGAAGUCUUCGGAUGGAUAGAAGAACCCCUGAUGCCGUCGAGCCAAGAAAAGUUUCUAAGUUUAGCUAAUGUUGCCCGUACCGUAAACCGACACAGGUGGGUGGGAUGAGUAUUCUAAGGCGCGUGGAAGAACUCUCUUUAAGGAACUCUGCAAAAUAGCACCGUAUCUUCGGUAUAAGGUGUGGUUCGCUUCGUAUUAGGAUUUACUCCGAAAGCGAAGAAACUUACAACAAAGAGUCCCUCCCGACUGUUUACCAAAAACACAGCACUCUGCUAACUCGUAAGAGGAUGUAUAGGGUGUGACGCCUGCCCGGUGCUCGAAGGUUAAUUGAUGGGGUUAGCAUUAGCGAAGCUCUUGAUCGAAGCCCGAGUAAACGGCGGCCGUAACUAUAACGGUCCUAAGGUAGCGAAAUUCCUUGUCGGUUAAAUACCGACCUGCAUGAAUGGCGUAACGAGAUGGGAGCUGUCUCAAAGAGGGAUCCAGUGAAAUUGUAGUGGAGGUGAAAAUUCCUCCUACCCGCGGCAAGACGGAAAGACCCCGUGGACCUUUACUACAGCUUGACACUGCUAUUUGGAUAAGAAUGUGCAGGAUAGGUGGGAGGCUUUGAGUAUAUGACGCCAGUUGUAUAUGAGCCAUUGUUGAGAUACCACUCUUUCUUAUUUGGGUAGCUAACCAGCUUGAGUUAUCCUCAAGUGGGACAAUGUCUGGUGGGUAGUUUGACUGGGGCGGUCGCCUCCCAAAUAAUAACGGAGGCUUACAAAGGUUGGCUCAGAACGGUUGGAAAUCGUUCGUAGAGUAUAAAGGUAUAAGCCAGCUUAACUGCAAGACAUACAAGUCAAGCAGAGACGAAAGUCGGUCUUAGUGAUCCGGUGGUUCUGUGUGGAAGGGCCAUCGCUCAAAGGAUAAAAGGUACCCCGGGGAUAACAGGCUGAUCUCCCCCAAGAGCUCACAUCGACGGGGAGGUUUGGCACCUCGAUGUCGGCUCAUCGCAUCCUGGGGCUGGAGCAGGUCCCAAGGGUAUGGCUGUUCGCCAUUUAAAGCGGUACGCGAGCUGGGUUCAGAACGUCGUGAGACAGUUCGGUCCCUAUCUGCCGUGGGCGUAAGAAGAUUGAAGAGAUUUGACCCUAGUACGAGAGGACCGGGUUGAACAAACCACUGGUGUAGCUGUUGUUCUGCCAAGAGCAUCGCAGCGUAGCUAAGUUUGGAAAGGAUAAACGCUGAAAGCAUCUAAGCGUGAAGCCAACUCUAAGAUGAAUCUUCUCUAAGCUCUCUAGAAGACUACUAGUUUGAUAGGCUGGGUGUGUAAUGGAUGAAAGUCCUUUAGCUGACCAGUACUAAUAGAGCGUUUGGCUUAUCUUUAAUAAAGCAU